Molecule: ribosomal RNA, 477 nt
Filed under: uncultured bacterium
Lineage: Bacteria
Description: partial 16S ribosomal RNA
Rfam family: Bacterial small subunit ribosomal RNA
Source: RNAcentral
GAUGAACGCUGGCGGCGUGCCUAACACAUGCAAGUCGAACGAAGCGCCGUACCGGAUUCUUCUCUUGAAGUUCUGGUGGCUGAGUGGCUGACGGGUGAGUAACGCGUCUGUAACCUUCCCUGUACAUGGGGAUAACAGCUCUAAACGGCUGCUAUUACUUCAUCAGCGCACGAGGAGACAUCUCCUUGUGUUUAAUACUCCGUUUGUACAGGAUGGCCCCGCAUCUGAUUAUCUGGUUGGUAGGGUAACGCCCUACCAAGGCUACGAUCAGUAGCCGGUCGGAGAGGCUGAACGCAGACAUUGGAACUGAGAAACGGUCGAGAAUCUUCCGGGAUGCAGGAGUGGGGAAUAUUGCAAAGUGGGGGGAAUGAUGAUGCAGCAACGCCGGGUAAGUGCAGAAGUAUUUGAAGAUGAAAAGCUCUAUCAGCAGGGAACAUAAUGACGGUACCUGACUAAGAAGCUCCGGCUAACUACGUG